CGGUUAAGUUAGAAAGGGCGCACGGUGGAUGCCUUGGCACUAGGAGCCGAUGAAGGACGGGACGAACACCGAUAUGCUUCGGGGAGCUGUAAGCAAGCUUUGAUCCGGAGAUUUCCGAAUGGGGAAACCCACCACUCGUAAUGGAGUGGUAUCCAUAUCUGAAUUCAUAGGAUAUGAGAAGGCAGACCCGGGGAACUGAAACAUCUAAGUACCCGGAGGAAGAGAAAGCAAAUGCGAUUCCCUGAGUAGCGGCGAGCGAAACGGGAUUAGCCCAAACCAAGAGGCUUGCCUCUUGGGGUUGUAGGACACUCUGUACGGAGUUACAAAAGAACGAGGUAGAUGAAGAGGUCUGGAAAGGCCCGCCAUAGGAGGUAACAGCCCUGUAGUCAAAACUUCGUUCUCUCCUGAGUGGAUCCUGAGUACGGCGGAACACGUGAAAUUCCGUCGGAAUCCGG
Molecule: ribosomal RNA, 455 nt
Filed under: Bacillus subtilis
Lineage: Bacteria; Bacillati; Bacillota; Bacilli; Caryophanales; Bacillaceae
Also listed under: 1 other name
Description: partial 23S ribosomal RNA
Rfam family: Bacterial large subunit ribosomal RNA
Source: RNAcentral